RNAcentral lists this ribosomal RNA (254 nucleotides) under uncultured bacterium. RNAcentral's name for it is "partial 16S ribosomal RNA". It matches the Rfam family "Bacterial small subunit ribosomal RNA", at positions 524 to 776 of the family's 1533-position model. The record is from RNAcentral.
UACGAAGGGGGCUAGCGUUGUUCGGAAUCACUGGGCGUAAAGCGCACGCAGGCGGAUCGUUAAGUCAGGGGUGAAAUGCCGAGGCUCAACCUCGGAACUGCCUUUGAUACUGGCGAUCUUAGAGUCCGGGAGAGGUGAGUGGAACUCCGAGUGUAGAGGUGAAAUGCGUAGAGAUCGGCAGGAACACCCAGGGGGAAACCAGUCGACUGGGCAUCUACUGACGCUGAGGUGCGAGAGCGUGGGGAGCGAACCGG